AGAGUCCUGAUGUGUACGUUGUCUACCCUAAUUUUGACCGAACAUAUUACCUUCGGGAGUCCGGAGUUUUCUACGUAAGCGUAAAUGCCUCAUUUGUAGGGGACUUACAGAUGCGAGAAGCAGGACACCCACCUGCUAAGUGCGGGUUCAAAAUGAAGGACCAAUAACGACGGCAUAAUUGGGACUCUU
This 189-nucleotide non-coding RNA is filed under the name Cytobacillus stercorigallinarum. Its description in RNAcentral is "Cytobacillus sp. Sa5YUA1 6S RNA". It matches the Rfam family "6S / SsrS RNA". Rfam says of the family: E. coli 6S RNA was the first non coding RNA to be sequenced, but its function was unknown until recently. It consists of 184 nucleotides that fold into an extended hairpin structure with a large single-stranded internal bulge. The record is from RNAcentral. Lineage: Bacteria; Bacillati; Bacillota; Bacilli; Caryophanales; Bacillaceae.